GAAAAUAAGUGCAACAUGCCAGAAAUCCAGUAAAGCAGUUCAAGUAUCAGAAGAGCGUGAAUCAAAACCAAGUGCAAGAAGAGGCACCUUGACAUUGAACUGAAGGCCACCAGUCUCCUGCCAGUGCUUCCAAUCGCUGAACUGAACUGGGAACAAAUCAACAAGGGAAACCAAGAGAUGCAUUCCUUGAAGUUCAGCCUCCAGGCCUCAAGUAAGGCAGAGGAAGAGAAUACAUAGAUCUGUGGAGAAGAGUGGUGAUGGUGGGAGCUGCCAAUAAAGAACUAUCAAAAAAGGAUGAUGCAACAGAAAAGCCGUCACCAGAUACCAGCACCUUAAUGUUGGACUUCUCAGCCUCCAGAACUGUAAGAAAUAAAUCCCUGUUCUUUAUAAAUUACCCAGUCUCAGGUAUCCUGCUAUAGCAGCACAAAAUGGACUAUGAUAGAAAAUUGGUAUGAAGGAGUAGUACCAUUGUUAUAACAAAUACCUAAAAAUGGAAGCCACUCUGGAACUGGGUAAGGGGUAGAGUAUGGAAGAAUUUAGAGGAGCAGGCUAGAAAAAGCCUAAAUUGCUGUGUAUUACUCCAGGAUGGUAAGAAAUAAAUCUCUGUUCUUUAUAAAUUGCCCAGACUCACAGCACAAAACAAAUUAAGACAUUAAGAUUUGCCCCAUUCUUAGAAUUCAUUUCUUCCAUUUUCCCUUUAAUUAAAUCAAUGCCAGCAUCUAAGCAGUGUGCACCUUUUGACCAUAGUCUUUCUAAUUGACCAGAAGCUUAGAUGUGGAAAAUGCAAAAACUAUGCACAUUUCUGAUGGGUUUAACUUCUGAGAAAUUUUUACAAGGUUUUCCUUAUUUUAUCUGCUCCAGUAAACCUGUGGUUUCAUGAACAGGCCUAGAAUUUGAGAUUCAGCUUCUAAACUUCAAAGGUGACCUUUCAACCCAUUUGUUUAUAGACUCGGUAUUAACCUUUUGAGUUCUAGAAUAGGGUUUUAGAACUUACUUUCAUAAAAGUUUAUAUAGUCAAUUCCAUUCAUUUAUGCUAAGGACAUAGAAUAUUUCUAGAUUGCACAAUAUGUUUCUGUGGGAAUUGAAUGGAAAUCCAGGUUUCCUGACAAGAAACAAAGGAUCUUUGGGAGGCCGAGACAGGCGGAUCACGAGGUCAGGAGAUCGAGACCAUCCUGGCUAACACGGUGAAACCCCGUCUCUACUAAAAAUACAAAACUUAGCCGGGCAUGGUGGCGUGCGCCUGUAGUCCCAGCUACACGGGAGGCUGAGGCAGGAGAAUGGUGUGAACCCGGGAGGCGGAGCUUGCAGUGAGUCGAGAUCACGCCACUGCACUCCAGCCUGGGUGACAGAGCGAGACUCCGUCUCAAAAAAAAAAAAAGAAAAAAAAGAAACAAAG
This 1396-nucleotide long non-coding RNA is filed under the name Homo sapiens (human). Its description in RNAcentral is "non-protein coding lnc-HSF2-4:3". Lineage: Eukaryota; Metazoa; Chordata; Mammalia; Primates; Hominidae. The record is from RNAcentral.